GUCCUCGUAGCUCAAUUGGGAGAGCAAUCGGCUUUUAACCGAAAGGUUGCAGGUUCAAGUCCUGUCGAGGACA
This 73-nucleotide transfer RNA is filed under the name Paenibacillus thiaminolyticus. Its description in RNAcentral is "tRNA-Lys". It matches the Rfam family "tRNA". From Rfam's summary of the family: Transfer RNA (tRNA) molecules are approximately 80 nucleotides in length. Their secondary structure includes four short double-helical elements and three loops (D, anti-codon, and T loops). The record is from RNAcentral. Lineage: Bacteria; Bacillati; Bacillota; Bacilli; Caryophanales; Paenibacillaceae.